GAUGAAGAACGUAGCGAAAUGCGAUAAGUAAUGCGAAUUGCAGAAUCCGUGAGUCAUCGAAUCUUUGAACGCACAUUGCGCCCUUUGGUAUUCCGAAGGGCAUGCCUGUUCGAGCGUCAUUAUCACCCCUCAAGCCCCGGCUUGGUGUUGGGCUCUCGGUGGUCGUCUCCGACCACCCGUCUCAAAGAUAGUGACGGCGUCCCAGAGGGAACCGGUACGAGGAGCUUUCACGAGCAUGUACGCGGGACGACUCUGCGGGCGACGGUCUUAUUUACUUUAUAUACAAGUGUUGACCUCGGAUCAGGUAGGAAUACCCGCUGAACUUAAGCAUAUCAAUAGCGGAGGA
Molecule: unclassified non-coding RNA, 346 nt
Filed under: soil metagenome
Description: partial contains 5.8S ribosomal RNA, internal transcribed spacer 2, and large subunit ribosomal RNA
Rfam family: 5.8S ribosomal RNA (bases 1-119)
Source: RNAcentral